This 1243-nucleotide ribosomal RNA is filed under the name Pantoea sp. Its description in RNAcentral is "bacterial SSU rRNA". It matches the Rfam family "Bacterial small subunit ribosomal RNA", at positions 114 to 1354 of the family's 1533-position model. Lineage: Bacteria; Pseudomonadati; Pseudomonadota; Gammaproteobacteria; Enterobacterales; Erwiniaceae. The record is from RNAcentral.
UGUCUGGGAAACUGCCCGAUGGAGGGGGAUAACUACUGGAAACGGUAGCUAAUACCGCAUAACGUCUUCGGACCAAAGUGGGGGACCUUCGGGCCUCACACCAUCGGAUGUGCCCAGAUGGGAUUAGCUAGUAGGUGGGGUAAUGGCUCACCUAGGCGACGAUCCCUAGCUGGUCUGAGAGGAUGACCAGCCACACUGGAACUGAGACACGGUCCAGACUCCUACGGGAGGCAGCAGUGGGGAAUAUUGCACAAUGGGCGCAAGCCUGAUGCAGCCAUGCCGCGUGUAUGAAGAAGGCCUUCGGGUUGUAAAGUACUUUCAGCGGGGAGGAAGGCGAUGAGGUUAAUAACCUUAUCGAUUGACGUUACCCGCAGAAGAAGCACCGGCUAACUCCGUGCCAGCAGCCGCGGUAAUACGGAGGGUGCAACCGUUAAUCGGAAUUACUGGGCGUAAAGCGCACGCAGGCGGUCUGUCAAGUCAGAUGUGAAAUCCCCGGGCUUAACCUGGGAACUGCAUUUGAAACUGGCAGGCUUGAGUCUCGUAGAGGGGGGUAGAAUUCCAGGUGUAGCGGUGAAAUGCGUAGAGAUCUGGAGGAAUACCGGUGGCGAAGGCGGCCCCCUGGACGAAGACUGACGCUCAGGUGCGAAAGCGUGGGGAGCAAACAGGAUUAGAUACCCUGGUAGUCCACGCUGUAAACGAUGUCGACUUGGAGGUUGUGCCCUUGAGGCGUGGCUUCCGGAGCUAACGCGUUAAGUCGACCGCCUGGGGAGUACGGCCGCAAGGUUAAAACUCAAAUGAAUUGACGGGGGCCCGCACAAGCGGUGGAGCAUGUGGUUUAAUUCGAUGCAACGCGAAGAACCUUACCUGGCCUUGACAUCCACAGAACUUUCCAGAGAUGGAUUGGUGCCUUCGGGAACUGUGAGACAGGUGCUGCAUGGCUGUCGUCAGCUCGUGUUGUGAAAUGUUGGGUUAAGUCCCGCAACGAGCGCAACCCUUAUCCUUUGUUGCCAGCGAUUCGGUCGGGAACUCAAAGGAGACUGCCGGUGAUAAACCGGAGGAAGGUGGGGAUGACGUCAAGUCAUCAUGGCCCUUACGGCCAGGGCUACACACGUGCUACAAUGGCGCAUACAAAGAGAAGCGACCUCGCGAGAGCAAGCGGACCUCAUAAAGUGCGUCGUAGUCCGGAUCGGAGUCUGCAACUCGACUCCGUGAAGUCGGAAUCGCUAGUAAUCGUAGAUCAGAA